RNAcentral lists this ribosomal RNA (460 nucleotides) under uncultured bacterium. RNAcentral describes it as "bacterial SSU rRNA". It matches the Rfam family "Bacterial small subunit ribosomal RNA", at positions 340 to 786 of the family's 1533-position model. The record is from RNAcentral.
UACGGAGGCAGCAGUGGGGAAUAUUGCACAAUGGGCGAAAGCCUGAUGCAGCUAUGCCGCGUGUAUGAAGAAGGCCUUAGGGUUGUAAAGUACUUUCAUCGGGGAGGAAAACAAAACUAAUAAUUUUAUUUCUUGACGUUACCCGAAAAAGAAGCACCGGCUAACUCCGUGCCAGCAGCCGCGGUAAUACGGAGGGUGCUAGCGUUAAUCAGAAUUACUGGGCGUAAAAGAGCACGUAGGUGGUUUUUUUAAGUCAGAUGUGAAAAUCCCUGGGCUUAACCUAGGAACUGCAUUUUUGAAAACUGAAAUACUAGAGUAUCGUAGAGGGAGGUAGAAUUCUAGGUGUAGCGGUGAAAUGCGUAGAUAUCUGGAGGAAUACCUGUGGCGAAAAGCGGCCUCCUAAACGAAUACUGACACUGAGGUGCGAAAAGCGUGGGGAGCAAAACAGGGAUUAGAUACC